UCCGCCGUUUUCUCAAAAUAAGAACCCCUCACGAUAUCAUCUUUUUGAGGAAGCUAACCGAAAAACCUUGAAGACCUAACAAUAAUUCUAGAGGAGCUAAAAGUAUCAGCAGCAACCGAUAACACUCUAGAGCAUAAGAGACCUAGAGAGUAAAAGAGAUCAGUGCCGCUACACCAAGGAAAAGAACCCACCCCACUAUUCUUCAUCUUCUUCAGAAAAGGCCCAGAGCUAACGCCGAUAGGGACCAAAAGAGCUGAAAGGAGCAUCGGCUGAGGACAAAACAACGACCACCAAAAAACCAGCCCCCUACCGCCGCUGCCCUCCUCCAACGGCCAGCCACUCCGUCCUCGAACAAGCACAACCACGAGCUCACCUUUAAAUCGCUGUCCCUCUCUCUACAAGAACCAGCUGAAAACAACUUCAAAAAAAUCGUAUGAAAAUUCGGCUCAAAUCAGCCCCGCCGCAACCCCGAAAACGCAUCAAACUUCACUUUCGAUCAGCUCUUUGAGAUUCAUUGUUCUUCGGGUCGAGUAGAGUUCGAGUCAUCGGUGAGAUUCGAGUUUCUCCCACGAGUUUCGGUCAAUCUUUCGCUUGUCGAGGCCUGGUCGCGGUCCUGUGCAUUGUCAAGCUUCAAAACAAACAGAAUCAUAUUAAUUUUGGAGGCACAUGUAUGUCUAGCGGCGUCAUUGGGCGCAACGGCAUGGUUGAUACAGAUACUUAGGUGAGUUUUAUCUCUCGAGAUGACCCGCAACUAGCAGGGUCUCCUUCAAAGUAUUGUACUUCCUUUUCUGUCCAAUUUGUAUUCCUGACAGUUAUUGUAAUACAUUUUAUUUCCUAGAAAUUGCUCAUGCACUUAUGACACCGGGUUUUGGGAUGA
This is a long non-coding RNA of Nicotiana tabacum (common tobacco), 877 nucleotides long. RefSeq lists it as uncharacterized. NCBI's taxonomy places the organism in Eukaryota, Viridiplantae, Streptophyta, Magnoliopsida, Solanales, Solanaceae. The record is from RefSeq and is a predicted model, not a curated record.